AUUUGGCUUUGGAUACGAUGUUCUUUAAUUUUGAUGGUGGCACCACAUGAUGUGGCAACAAAGUGUCUUGAGAUAGCCCAAGAGGGUGAAAAUUUUAAAUUUUUGCAUAAUAGCAACCAAAAGCUCUCAAGCAAGUAUUCCUGUUGGCCAAAGUCUAGAAGUUGUAGCCCCAAAAGUCUCCCGAAUUUUAUGACAUCUACACUUGAAGACUUUUGAAGAAUUCAAAUCUCAGCCUGUUCAUCACGUUUUGUUGACCCAAAAUGGUAGUGCUCAUUCCUGGCUCAGUUGAUGAUGAUGAUGAUGA
This 304-nucleotide long non-coding RNA is filed under the name Pogona vitticeps (central bearded dragon). RNAcentral describes it as "lncRNA (ENSPVIG00000018700.1)". Lineage: Eukaryota; Metazoa; Chordata; Lepidosauria; Squamata; Agamidae. The record is from RNAcentral.